UGUCUCAAGUUUGAGGCUAUAGCAGAAGUGCUCAUGGUAUAGCCCUGUCAGAUUCUAACAAAUCUGUGAGAUCCACU
RNAcentral lists this ribozyme (77 nucleotides) under Crocodylus porosus (Australian saltwater crocodile). RNAcentral describes it as "Mammalian CPEB3 ribozyme (ENSCPRG00005012811.1)". It matches the Rfam family "Mammalian CPEB3 ribozyme". Rfam says of the family: The mammalian CPEB3 ribozyme is a self cleaving RNA located in the second intron of the CPEB3 gene which belongs to a family of genes regulating messenger RNA polyadenylation. This ribozyme is highly conserved and found only in mammals. Lineage: Eukaryota; Metazoa; Chordata; Crocodylia; Crocodylidae. The record is from Rfam by way of RNAcentral.